This 537-nucleotide ribosomal RNA is filed under the name Termitomyces sp. RNAcentral describes it as "eukaryotic LSU rRNA". It matches the Rfam family "Eukaryotic large subunit ribosomal RNA", at positions 53 to 589 of the family's 3401-position model. Lineage: Eukaryota; Fungi; Basidiomycota; Agaricomycetes; Agaricales; Lyophyllaceae. The record is from RNAcentral.
GAGGAAAAGAAACUAACAAGGAUUCCCCUAGUAACUGCGAGUGAAGCGGGAAAAGCUCAAAUUUAAAAUCUGGUAGUCUUUGGCUGCCCGAGUUGUAAUCUAGAGAAGCAUUAUCCGCGCUGGACCGUGUACAAGUGUCCUGGAAUGGACUAUCAUAGAGGGUGAGAAUCCCGUCUUUGACACGGACUCCCAGGGCUUUGUGAUGUGCUCUCAAAGAGUCGAGUUGUUUGGGAAUGCAGCUCUAAAUGGGUGGUAAAUUCCAUCUAAAGCUAAAUAUUGGCGAGAGACCGAUAGCGAACAAGUACCGUGAGGGAAAGAUGAAAAGAACUUUGGAAAGAGAGUUAAACAGUACGUGAAAUUGCUGAAAGGGAAACGCUUGAAGUCAGUCGCGUCGGCUGGGGAUCAACCUUGCUUCUUGCUUGGCUUACUUCCCAGUUGACGGGUCAGCAUCAGUUUUGACCAGUGGAUAAAGGUUAAGGGAAUGUGGCACCUCCGGGUGUGUUAUAGCCCUUGGUCAUAUACAUUGGUUGGGACUGA